CAGAUGUUGGGUUAANUCCCGUAACGAGNNCAACCCUUGUCCUUAGUUACCAGCACGUUAUGGUGGGCACUCUAAGGAGACUNCCGGUGACAAACCGAGAAGGUGGGGAUGACGUCAAGUCAUCAUGGCCCUUACGGCUGGGCUACACACGUGCUACAAUGGUCGGUACAGAGGGUUGCCAAGCCGCGAGUGGAGCUAAUCUCACAAAACCGAUCGUAGUC
Molecule: ribosomal RNA, 221 nt
Filed under: Pseudomonas sp.
Lineage: Bacteria; Pseudomonadati; Pseudomonadota; Gammaproteobacteria; Pseudomonadales; Pseudomonadaceae
Description: 16S ribosomal RNA
Rfam family: Bacterial small subunit ribosomal RNA
Source: RNAcentral